UUGGUGAGCAGGUCAUUCCCAGCUCGGCUGACCUUUUGAAAACAAAACCAAGCCUUUGCAUUACUUUUUGACUCAAUAUUUAAACUACGAUUGACAAAUCUCAGUAUUUCCAAUAGGAGCUAGUACCAAUGCCCACUCUGUGAAAACUUUGCAGCUUGGUUGGUGAGGCAAGCUGCAGGGAAGGGCAGAAAGAGCAGCAGAAUCACAAUUGGCAUCCAGAUUGACCAGAUUGGAUAAAGACAAGCCUGCAUCUGUCCUGGCGGAGCCCACUGACCCUGACUGACAGCCUCCAACAGCACCUUUACCCAGCGAGCCUCCUGUCCCGACACCAACAUGCCUGAACUACUGGACCCCUCUCUGGUGGAACCAAUUAGACUAAACUCGUCAGGAAGCCAGACCCUAGAAGACAACAGAGAACCUGUGAAGAUGCUGGGAAAUGGCUUCAGUGCUUUGAAUCACGUUACAUAGUGACUGCUCCCAAGUGAUUAGCCAUUCAAAAAAGCAAGAUCACCAUGCUGAUCAGGUACGUUCCACCGUGCAGCCACAAGCUUUUCUUUGUGUCUUUCUUUGAGUUUUGUCAUAUUUCUUCAUUGUUUUUAUUGUAGUGUGGGUCUUCUUCCUUUGUCAUAGCAUGUAAAUGGCCCUCUGUGUGCUUUCUUUUUCUGGAAACUUAGCUUUCUGUCUUUCAAGUAAAAAGACAGUGCCGCAGAGAUUAAAUAUGAAAAUGAUUGUAACUUGUCAGGGUGAGGUAGAAGCAGGGAUUUCCCAGUCUCUCUCAACAUCUCCUUCAGCAGCUCCUUCCUAAUAAAACUGAGCAUGCAAACUUUUUAGCAUAAAUGGCACUAAAUGUCUUCAGAAAUGAAACAAAUGGCACAUCUAGGGCCCCAGCUGAAGGCUAUUAUGGGUUAAAUUGUGAUUUAUGGUGCCCACGGACAAUCAUUUUAUGUCCAGUGACAGCUUCUACAUUUCAGUCAUGGCACCUUAAUGAAGGGCCAUGAUACUAUCUCAGAGUCUGCAGCUCCAUAAUGGGCCAAUUUGUACAGUAAAUGACAGCCGGAGAACCAGAGGAAUGUUUUGUGUAAUAUUUGAUAAUGUAAUUGAUAUUCGCUCAGGUUUAUGAAUGUAAAUGUUGGGCCAUUUGGUCUUCAUUGGGGUCAUUUUUCUUCUGAUUAUUGAGAACCCAUAAAAUGAAGGCGCUUAACUUUAUCCCUAUCAAAGCACUUGGCAGAAUAGUUUGCAGAGCAUGUUCUCUUGGGGAAAACACAUUCUAAACUUUUACAUAGCUAUUUUUCAUUUUCGUCAAGGUGCAACAUUUUGCACUCACUCACUGGAAUGCUGUGAGCAUUAAUUAACAUUUGCAAUGCUCAUAGAAGGUGAAAAAUGCCAAGAAGGUGCUAAGUCUUAGAAGUGGAAAUAUUGGCUGUGCAAUCUUUUUGAAGAUUUGGCUGGCAGUUUGGAAGACUAACUGUACAGAAAUUGCACAGCAUAAAUAGCAGAUGUUGAAGCACUGGGAGUCAACACGCAAGAGUCAGUGGUCUCUAAGCACAUGUGACCCAGUCCUUUUGGGAUAUUAUUUGUCAGAUGAAGCUCCUUAUUUUCAUUUGGAAAAUGUGUAAGGAAAGCAGUGGAGCAGUGAUGUUCUGUAUCUUUUGUAACUCACCAAAAAAGAAGAGGAGGUCCCACAAAAGACCAAAGGUAACAGCAAACAUCAAUCAAGAACAAUGAUAAAAAGCAAAUAUAUGAAAAUAUAUCUGUGUUAAUGCUACAACUGACUGUAAAUGCAUACAUAUGUAAAUGAAACAAUA
Hemicordylus capensis (graceful crag lizard) is the source of this 1805-nucleotide long non-coding RNA. RefSeq lists it as uncharacterized. The transcript is spliced from 3 exons. The record is from RefSeq and is a predicted model, not a curated record. Lineage: Eukaryota; Metazoa; Chordata; Lepidosauria; Squamata; Cordylidae.